This 253-nucleotide ribosomal RNA is filed under the name uncultured bacterium. RNAcentral's name for it is "partial 16S ribosomal RNA". It matches the Rfam family "Bacterial small subunit ribosomal RNA", at positions 524 to 776 of the family's 1533-position model. The record is from RNAcentral.
UACGUAGGGUGCAAGCGUUAAUCGGAAUUACUGGGCGUAAAGCGUGCGCAGGCGGUUUUGUAAGCCAGAUGUGAAAUCCCCGGGCUUAACCUGGGAAUGGCAUUUGGGACUGCAAGGCUGGAGUUUGGCAGAGGAGACUGGAAUUCCCGGUGUAGCAGUGAAAUGCGUAGAUAUCGGGAGGAAUACCGAUGGCGAAGGCAGGUCUCUGGGCCACUACUGACGCUGAGAAGCGAAAGCAUGGGGAGCGAACAGG